Molecule: ribosomal RNA, 468 nt
Filed under: uncultured bacterium
Lineage: Bacteria
Description: partial 16S ribosomal RNA
Rfam family: Bacterial small subunit ribosomal RNA
Source: RNAcentral
GACGAACGCUGGCGGCGUGCUUAACACAUGCAAGUCGAACGGAAAGGCCCUGCUUUUGUGGGGUGCUAGAGUGGCGAAAGGGUGAGUAACACGUGAGUAACCUGACCUUGACCUUGGGAUAACUUCAGGAAAUUGGGGCUAAUACCGGAUAGGAGCUUCUGCUGCAUGGUGGGGGUUGGAAAGUUUCGGCGGUUGGGGAUGGACUCGCGGCUUAUCAGCUUGUUGGUGGGGCAGUGGCUUACCAAGGCUUUGACGGGUAGCCGGCCUGAGAGGGUGACCGGCCACAUUGGGACUGAGAUACGGCCGAGACUCCUGCGGGAGGCAGCAGUGGGGAAUAUUGCACAAUGGGCGGAAGCCUGAUGCAGCAACGCCGCGUGCUGGAUGACGGCCUGCGGGUGGUAAGCCGCUUUCGCCUGUGACGAAGCUUGAGUGACGGUAAUGUGUAAAGAAGCACCGGCUAACUACGUG